AUUGAACGCUGGCGGCAUGCUCUACACAUGCAAGUCGAACGGUAACAGGUUAAGCUGACGAGUGGCGAACGGGUGAGUAAUGCAUCGGAGCGUGCCCGAUCGUGGGGGAUAACGCAGCGAAAGCUGCGCUAAUACCGCAUACGAUCUGAGGAUGAAAGCGGGGGACCGUAAGGCCUCGCGCGAUCGGAGCGGCCGAUGUCAGAUUAGGUAGUUGGUGGGGUAAAGGCUCACCAAGCCGACGAUCUGUAGCUGGUCUGAGAGGACGACCAGCCACACUGGGACUGAGACACGGCCCAGACUCCUACGGGAGGCAGCAGUGGGGAAUUUUGGACAAUGGGCGCAAGCCUGAUCCAGCAAUGCCGCGUGCAGGAAGAAGGCCUUCGGGUUGUAAACUGCUUUUGUACGGAGCGAAAAGGUCCUUUCUAAUACAGAGGGCUCAUGACGGUACCGUAAGAAUAAGCACCGGCUAACUACGUGCCAGCCGCCGCCGUAA
This 493-nucleotide ribosomal RNA is filed under the name uncultured bacterium. RNAcentral describes it as "partial 16S ribosomal RNA". It matches the Rfam family "Bacterial small subunit ribosomal RNA", at positions 30 to 523 of the family's 1533-position model. The record is from RNAcentral.